RNAcentral lists this long non-coding RNA (652 nucleotides) under Ananas comosus (pineapple). RNAcentral describes it as "long non-coding RNA (ACOM_LNC003650)". Lineage: Eukaryota; Viridiplantae; Streptophyta; Magnoliopsida; Poales; Bromeliaceae. The record is from RNAcentral.
CAAAUUUAUUUCCAUUCAGUAUUUGGUCUCUUCUCUCAUAUUUCACUCCAACCACAUAUAUAUUAUAGGUAAACUUCAAAUACCACUCCUAUGGUUUCGCAUUUUUCCACUUUAAUAUCCAGUAGUUUAAAGUGUAUCAGUGUAGUAGUAUGUGGUUUCAUUUUUCUCAUUUCAUCAGCUCCUUUGUUAACUUUUGGUUAAAUUAUAUACAAAAACUUUAGAUACCCUACUUAUAAUUUAUCGAAUAUUUACUUUAGUACCAUUUAGUUUUAACUUUGUCACUGAUUUAAUAAAAAAAAUUAUAAUAGGGAAUAAUAGAAAGAGAAAAAUAAAAUUAUAGGGUACGAAAGUAAUACACUUUAAACCAUAAGCUACUAAAGUGAGAAAGUGCGAAACCACAUGGAUAGCGAUUGAAAUUUUUUCUAUAAUUUAUUGAAUAUUCAUUUUAGUAUCUUUUAGUUUUUUACUUUGUCACUGAUUUAACGAAACAAAUUAAUAGAAAAAAUAAUAAAAAGAGAAAAAUAAAAUUACAAGAUACGAAAGUAAUACACUAGCUUUAAAGCAUAAACUACUAAAGUGAGAAAGUACGAAAUCAAUGUAGUAUUUAAAGUUUUUUCUAUAUUAUAUCAUGUUAUGUUGUAUGCGACCUUCU